UAAGGGCGCACGGUGGAUGCCUUGGCACUAGGAGCCGAUGAAGGACGGGACUAACACCGAUAUGCUUUGGGGAGCUGUACGUAAGCUAUGAUCCAGAGAUUUCCGAAUGGGGGAACCCAACAUCUUUAAUAGGAUGUUACGAUUGUGUGAAUACAUAGCACAUUCGAGGUAGACGCAGAGAACUGAAACAUCUAAGUACCUGCAGGAAGAGAAAGAAAAUUCGAUUCCCUGAGUAGCGGCGAGCGAAACGGGAAAAGCCCAAACCAGCAAGCUUGCUUGUUGGGGUUGUAGGACUCCAAUAUGGUAGUUCUUUCAGAUAGUCGAAUGACUUGGAAAAGUCAGUCAAAGAGGGUAAAAACCCCGUAGACGAAAUGUGGAAGACACCUAGGAGGAUCCUGAGUACGGCGGAACACGAGAAAUUCCGUCGGAAUCCGGGAGGACCAUCUCCCAAGGCUAAAUACUCCCUAGUGACCGAUAGUGAACCAGUACCGUGAGGGAAAGGUGAAAAGCACCCCGGAAGGGGAGUGAAAUAGAACCUGAAACCGUGUGCCUACAACAAGUCAAAGCCCGUUAAUGGGUGAUGGCGUGCCUUUUGUAGAAUGAACCGGCGAGUUACGAUUGCAUGCGAGGUUAAGUUGAAGAGACGGAGCCGCAGCGAAAGCGAGUCUGAAUAGGGCGUUUGAGUAUGUAGUCGUAGACCCGAAACCAUGUGAUCUA
This 717-nucleotide ribosomal RNA is filed under the name Enterococcus faecium. Its description in RNAcentral is "partial 23S ribosomal RNA". It matches the Rfam family "Bacterial large subunit ribosomal RNA", at positions 12 to 732 of the family's 2925-position model. The record is from RNAcentral. Lineage: Bacteria; Bacillati; Bacillota; Bacilli; Lactobacillales; Enterococcaceae.